This 484-nucleotide ribosomal RNA is filed under the name uncultured bacterium. RNAcentral's name for it is "partial 16S ribosomal RNA". It matches the Rfam family "Bacterial small subunit ribosomal RNA", at positions 30 to 507 of the family's 1533-position model. The record is from RNAcentral.
AUUGAACGCUGGCGGCAGGCCUAACACAUGCAAGUCGAGCGGAUGAAGGGAGCUUGCUCCUGGAUUCAGCGGCGGACGGGUGAGUAAUGCCUAGGAAUCUGCCGGGUAGUGGGGGAUAACGUCCGGAAACGGGCGCUAAUACCGCAUACGUCCUGAGGGAGAAAGUGGGGGAUCUUCGGACCUCACGCUAUCAGAUGAGCCUAGGUCGGAUUAGCUAGUUGGUGGGGUAAAGGCCUACCAAGGCGACGAUCCGUAACUGGUCUGAGAGGAUGAUCAGUCACACUGGAACUGAGACACGGUCCAGACUCCUACGGGAGGCAGCAGUGGGGAAUAUUGGACAAUGGGCGAUAGCCUGAUCCAGCCAUGCCGCGUGUGUGAAGAAGGUCUUCGGAUUGUAGAGCACUUUAAGUUGGGAGGAAGGGCAGUAAGUUAAUACCUUGCUGUUUUGACGUUACCAACAGAAUAAUCACCGGCUAACUUCGUG